Molecule: long non-coding RNA, 301 nt
Filed under: Vitis vinifera (wine grape)
Lineage: Eukaryota; Viridiplantae; Streptophyta; Magnoliopsida; Vitales; Vitaceae
Description: long non-coding RNA (VVIN_LNC004702)
Source: RNAcentral
CAAAUUUCUUCUCAACAGCCAAACAAAUCCUUAAAUGGAAUACUCACCUACGAUUAAUCCAAAAGAAAGAGAAAGCUCUACUUCGGUUUCCAGAAACCUUCAAAAUAUUGCACCUUUGAUGAACAAAGAUGAAGAAAUAGCUCAACUUUGGCUUCGUUGAAGGUUUUCGGAAAAUGCAGAUGGAUUAGGGCAAAAUGAGGUUUUCGGAAAAUGCAGAUGGGUUAGGGCAAAAUGAGAGGAAGUGACAAGUUUUCCCAAAUUUCUAACUUUGUCGGGUCGGCUGGAUUUUGCAAAUUUGAUA